This is a long non-coding RNA of Passer domesticus (house sparrow), 1898 nucleotides long. RefSeq lists it as uncharacterized. NCBI's taxonomy places the organism in Eukaryota, Metazoa, Chordata, Aves, Passeriformes, Passeridae. The transcript is spliced from 3 exons. The record is from RefSeq and is a predicted model, not a curated record.
UGGAAGGAGCCAGGGGAGGCUGCCCAGGGCACUAAAACCCUUUUAGUGCCCUAGGGCCCCAAUAAAGCAAAUCUGAAUCUCUUGAGGGACUGCUGGGUACCCAAGAGCCACCCUGCUUGAGUGGGAGUGGGGUUAAGGUUGAUGCUGCUCUUGGGGUUAAGCAACUGCUGAAGUAAUGGUAUGGAAAGCACUGACAGCAUCUAAUGGUUUGCCCAGAAUAAACAGAGAACAGGGCCUGUUACAAUCAGGUGUCCUGGGGGCCCAGACCUGGAGAGGAAUUAUUUUAUCUGCCCAGAAUGGGAGAACAGAGCUGACGGGCUGUGGAGUUUAGAGUUCUACACUAAAGCAAUGCAGGAGCUGAAAAAUAUAAAAGCUAAAUUUUAAGGCAUCAUGUGAUUGCUGGAAUAAUUUUGAAUGUGAAGAUGGGAGGCAAUUCUUUGUUCCUCACUCCUGCAGCAAGAUUCCAGGUUUUCCUGGGGAUGUUUCACACUUGUGCUGGCCCAAGCAGAGUGCUCCUGUUCAGUGCAGAAGUUCAGAGAUGCCCAGAUUCUGGAAGAGGAGGAGUUUCCCUGGAGCAAAGAAUGAAGCACAGAAUGGAUGCUUUUGCCAGGCUGCUCUUGGCUUUGGCUGUGAGUUUUUGGCACGGAGCUCUCCUGGGCAUCAGUCUCAGGUGCAGCCCUGGGCAGGGGUAGCAGCAGGGUUUGCUGUUACUGCCUCUGCCCCUGAGGGUGUGAAAUCCCUUCUUGGACAGCCCUGGCCUGCUGAUGGGCACAAGGAAAACACUUCACAGAUGUUACAGCUGCUGGAGUCACCAAAACAGAGACACAGUCAGCAGGGCAGGGCUGAAGUGCAAAAAACAACCCUGCUGGGGCUUGGUGUUGCUUAGGAAAUGCUCAGGGUUUUGUAUUUCUUGAGUGUUUUAAACUUGCCUGAAAUGGAAGUGCUUCCUAAACUUCAACUUCAGGAUUGCACGACUGCACUGACCAUUGUCUGUGCUGAGCAGGCCUGCAGAGCUCAAAGCAAUCCUACCAUAAAUUUCUGUUCUGAUCUGUUUAAAUGUGACUUGAGCAGCAAUCUCUAAACAGAAGUUCAGGCACUGAGUCAGUGACUGCCAGUCCUGUGUCCAUUAGAAGCACAGCAUCAUUAAGUGUGUCAUUGCCUCUCAAUAUCACAGCUGAUGUUAGCAGAUAAAAAUCCUUCCUGGGGAUAUCUUCAUUCUCAGGGACAUUUUGAAGCCAUUCCUAGGCGAGGGCUCCCUCUUCAGUUCUGCAGCAGAGAUCAGCAUUCAUUUCUCUUGGCAAAAAAAUCGGGUGGUUUUUUUUAAAUAUAAAUAAUGGCAAACACAUUCAUUAUCUUUUCAUUAUCUUAUCAAAGACAUUUACUUCAGAAAAGCUAAACAAAAUAAUGUGCUGAACACUGGAAGUUUCAUGACAAAUAUCAUUUGCAGCUCUUGGACUCUGUUUCUCCUUCUUGGGUUGUUUUGUUUUGAGUGAUUUGUCCUGGAUGGAAUGUCAGGUCUUUGAUCUCUGGACUGGUUAUGUGAGGUUAGCAAAAUAAUUGAAAUGGAGGAAAACACAGAUGAUAUAAGAAACAAAUCCACUGAACAAUACAGUGUGUAUUAAACUGGCAGUAAAACAAUUAGGAUGUGCACUCAUGCAAUAAGCAAACAGAAAAAUAUCUGCACACAGAAACAUCUUGAGCAGGGUGAGCAGAGUGAACAAAGCUCAUUCCAAGCUCAGGAUGAUAAUUUAGGCCAUUUCAUGAGCUCAUCUUCGUGUUGUUUGACUAAUAUCAGCAGUUUGCUCCCAUAAGUACAAAAUGAUGUUGAAUUCUAAUGGCCACUUAAGUCAUGGAAACAAUAUAAUUAGAGUAAUAAAUACAACUUCAUGUUUUCAUAA